CACAGUUUGACAUCAAGAGGAAUGCAAACAGAUGCUUUAUUUUUAGCAUAGUUAUUCUCUCAGGUUGGUGCUAUCUUUCAUCUUGGCUCAAUGAGGUGGGCUUAAAUCUACCUUUCUUCAUGCAGACGCCUGUGUCAGUGCUUGCAGAAUCUCUGCCCUUGUUUGGAAGAAGAGUGCUUUCUGUGAGACUAGGACGUAGUGAAUUGAAGCUUAAGGCUUGUGAUGUACCUACAUCAUGUCUAUUUCAGAGCCUCAGAAAAGGGUGCUCCAGCUUUUUUUGGAAGAGGAUAGAUUCCGUAAGCAUGGCUGUGGACACAGCAUACAGGUAUUCUGCAUUUCUGCCUCUGUGGAGCCAAAAGAGCGUCAGAUUGCCACAUUGCAGUUCAGGGGCUGCUUUUUCGUGGCGUUCCCUCUGCAAGGUACUGCACAGAGUGAAUGUAUGUGGCAGAGGACCAGACUUGAUAUCCCAUGGACAUUUAUGCAUGAAGAUGAACUAUCUCCCAAGUGCACAACUAAAGCUGGUAUGCAAACCUUAA
This 536-nucleotide long non-coding RNA is filed under the name Struthio camelus australis. RNAcentral's name for it is "lncRNA (ENSSCUG00000013450.1)". Lineage: Eukaryota; Metazoa; Chordata; Aves; Struthioniformes; Struthionidae. The record is from RNAcentral.